This 251-nucleotide small RNA is filed under the name Arabidopsis thaliana (thale cress). RNAcentral describes it as "ATSL214700". The record is from RNAcentral. Lineage: Eukaryota; Viridiplantae; Streptophyta; Magnoliopsida; Brassicales; Brassicaceae.
AUAUUUUUCAAAGCUAUGUAGUUCAUGACCGUAUGCUGACCUUCACACUUUUAGAGUAUCUUUAUUAGUAGUCUCUCACAUAGUUUUUCAUUAACUAAAAAAUAUAAAAUAAUAAUAAAGUAUAAGAGAGAUAAGAAAAAGAUUGAAAACAGUUUCUAUGCAGAAAAACUUUAAAGUAAUGAUUGAGAGACUAUAUGUAUAUGUGUAUGUUUAUAAUUGGACAGAAACUAAAUUAUAAUAAAAUAUAUAUU